UAGUCUCGCACAGAUGCAUAUCAAUAAGCGGAGGAAAAGAAACUAACAAGGAUUCCCCUAGUAACGGCGAGUGAAGCGGGAAGAGCUCAAAUUUGAAAUCUUAAAGGGUUUCCCUUUACGAAUUGUAGUUUAAAGAAGUGUUUUCUGUUGAGGUUUUGGUAAAAGUUCUUUGGAAUAGGACAUCAUAGAGGGUGAGAAUCCCGUAUUUGACCUUUACUUUCAACUUUGUGAUACACUUUCAAAGAGUCGGAUUGUUUGGGAAUGCAGUCCAAAAUGGGUGGUAAAUUUCAUCUAAGCUAAAUAUUGGCGAGAGACCGAUAGCGAACAAGUACCGUGAGGGAAAGAUGAAAAGAACUUUGAAAAGAGAGUUAAACAGUACGUGAAAUUGUCAAAAGGGAAGCGUUUGACACCAGUGUUGUUUUUCUGAAAAUCAAUUAAAGAACUGUUUAUGCUAAGUUGUUUAGACUUUAUCAGCUAACUGUUUAGUUUUGAGCUUUUCUUUAAUGCACUUUUCAGUUAACAAGUCAACAUCAAUUUCUUUUGCUGUAAAAAAGCUUGAGGAAGGUGGCUUGAGAUUCGUCUUAAGUGUUUAUAGCCUCUUGCCUAUGCAGUCGGAGAGAUUGAGGUCUGCAGCGUAGAUCCUUCGGGGCUAAAUGCAUUUGUGCUAAGUUAUAACAUUUUAUAGACAACUUGUUGACUAUGAUUUGUCUUGUAGCUUACUCGCUUAUGUUAUUUUACCUACGCUUAGGAUGUUGAUCUGUAGUGCGUGCGC
This 772-nucleotide ribosomal RNA is filed under the name uncultured Neocallimastigales. RNAcentral describes it as "partial large subunit ribosomal RNA". It matches the Rfam family "Eukaryotic large subunit ribosomal RNA", at positions 24 to 646 of the family's 3401-position model. Lineage: Eukaryota; Fungi; Neocallimastigomycota; Neocallimastigomycetes; Neocallimastigales. The record is from RNAcentral.